This 430-nucleotide ribosomal RNA is filed under the name uncultured bacterium. RNAcentral describes it as "bacterial SSU rRNA". It matches the Rfam family "Bacterial small subunit ribosomal RNA", at positions 335 to 762 of the family's 1533-position model. The record is from RNAcentral.
ACUCCUACGGGAGGCAGCAGUGGGGAAUAUUGCACAAUGGGGAAGCCCUGAUGCAGCCAUGCCGCGUGUGUGAAGAAGGCCUUCGGUUGUAAGCACUUUCAGUAGGGAGGAAGGUAGUGUAGUUAACACCUGCACUAUUUGACGUUACCUACAGAAGAAGCACCGGCUAACUCCGUGCCAGCAGCCGCGGUAAUACGGAGGGUGCGAGCGUUAAUCGGAAUUACUGGGCGUAAAGCGCAUGCAGGCGGCCUGUUAAGUCAGAUGUGAAAGCCCGGGGGCUUAACCUCGGAAUUGCAUUUGAAACUGGCAGGCUAGAGUCUUGUAGAGGGGGUAGAAUUUCAGGUGUAGCGGUGAAAUGCGUAGAGAUCUGAAGGAUACCAGUGGCGAAGGCGGCCCCUGGACAAAGACUGACGCUCAGAUGCGAAAGCGU